RNAcentral lists this ribosomal RNA (1060 nucleotides) under Rhodosorus marinus. RNAcentral describes it as "partial Bacterial small subunit ribosomal RNA". It matches the Rfam family "Bacterial small subunit ribosomal RNA", at positions 9 to 1094 of the family's 1533-position model. Lineage: Eukaryota; Rhodophyta; Stylonematophyceae; Stylonematales; Stylonemataceae. The record is from RNAcentral.
GAGUUUGAUCCUGGCUCAGCGCGAACGCUGGCGGCAUGGCUAAAACAUGCAAGUCGAGCGCGAAAGUCCCUUCGGGGGCGAGUAGAGCGGCGAAAGGGCGAGUAACGCGUUCCUACGUACCCCGAGGUCAGGGAUAGCCCAUGGAAACGUGGAGUAAUACCUGAUGUGGUGCUUCGGCAUCAAAGGCUUGCCGCCUCGGGAGCGGGGAACGUCCUAUCAGGUUGUUGGUGAGGUAAAAGCUCACCAAGCCGAAGACGGGUAGCGGGUGUGAGAGCAUGACCCGCCGCAUCGGAACUGAGACACUGUCCGGACUCCUACGGGAGGCUGCAGUAACGAAUCUUCCGCAAUGCGCGAAAGCGUGACGGAGCAAUGCCGCGUGCAGGAUGGAGCCCCUCGGGGUGUGAACUGCUGUCAGGGUUUAGAAACACAAUGAUCAGACCCAAAGGAAGGGCCGGCUAACUUCGUGCCAGCAGCCGCGGUAAUACGAAGGGCCCGAGCGUUGCGCGGAAUCACUGGGCUUAAAGCGUACGCAGGUGGACCUACAGGCGUCUUGUGAAAUCCCUCGGCUCAACCGGGGAACUGCUCGACGAACCGUAGGUCUUGAGGCAGGUAGGGGCUGUCGGAACGAUAGGUGGAGUGGUGAAAUGCGUUGAUAUCUAUCGGAACACCAAAGGUGAAAACAGACAGCUGGGCCUGACCUGACACUCAUGUACGAAAGCGUGGGGAGCGAACGGGAUUAGAUACCCCGGUAGUCCACGCCGUAAACGUUGUGCACUAGUUCGAGGGGGUUCUGACACUGCUCUCGGACGAAGCGAAAGUGUUAAGUGCACCGCCUGGGGAGUACGGUCGCAAGGCUAAAACUCAAAGGAAUUGACGGGGGCUCACACAAGCGGUGGAGCAUGUGGCUUAAUUCGAAGCAACGCGAAGAACCUUAUCCUGGAUUGAACUACGGCGGAUUAGCUCUUGGAAACAUGAGUGACACCCUCGGGUGGAACGUCGAUAGGUGCUGCAUGGCUGUCGUCAGCUCGUGCUGUGAAGUGUCGGGUUAAGUCCCUUAACG